GGGGGUAUAUGGUAUAUGACAAUGCAUACCUAACGUACUGCAGCAUGUUAAAUUAAUUUCACUGCAUGUAAGUUACUAAUGAAUGUUUUAACAUUAAGGGUAAUUACUCUUGAACCUCUGAAUAAAAAAACCUGCUUAAACAUGAAAUCCUUCAGUCCAAAGGCAGAACCUGACUUUGAUGAUUUAAAAGACAAAAGUGUUA
This 202-nucleotide long non-coding RNA is filed under the name Mytilus galloprovincialis (Mediterranean mussel). Lineage: Eukaryota; Metazoa; Mollusca; Bivalvia; Mytilida; Mytilidae. The record is from RNAcentral.